AUUGAACGCUGGCGGCGUGCUUUACACAUGCAAGUCGAACGGCAGCACGGGGGCAACCCUGGUGGCGAGUGGCGAACGGGUGAGUAACACAUCGGAACGUGCCCAGUUGUGGGGGAUAACCUAUCGAAAGGUAGGCUAAUACCGCAUGAGCUCGGCAAGAGGAAAGCGGGGGACUCAGCGAUGGGCCUCGCGCGACUGGAGCGGCCGAUGUCCGAUUAGCUAGGUUGGGGGGUAAAGGCUUACCAAGGCGACGAUCGGUAGCUGGUCUGAGAGGAUGAUCAGCCACACUGGGACUGAGACACGGCCCAGGACUCCUACGGGAGGCAGCAGUGGGGAAUUUUGGACAAUGGGGGCAACCCUGAUCCAGCCAUGCCGCGUGAGUGAAGAAGGCCU
This 393-nucleotide ribosomal RNA is filed under the name uncultured bacterium. Its description in RNAcentral is "bacterial SSU rRNA". It matches the Rfam family "Bacterial small subunit ribosomal RNA", at positions 29 to 417 of the family's 1533-position model. The record is from RNAcentral.